This 495-nucleotide ribosomal RNA is filed under the name uncultured bacterium. Its description in RNAcentral is "partial 16S ribosomal RNA". It matches the Rfam family "Bacterial small subunit ribosomal RNA", at positions 28 to 507 of the family's 1533-position model. The record is from RNAcentral.
GACGAACGCUGGCGGCGUGCCUAAUACAUGCAAGUAGAACGCUGAAGGAGGAGCUUGCUUCUCUGGAUGAGUUGCGAACGGGUGAGUAACGCGUAGGUAACCUGCCUGGUAGCGGGGGAUAACUAUUGGAAACGAUAGCUAAUACCGCAUAAUAUUGACUAUUGCAUGAUAGUCAGUUGAAAGGUGCAACUGCACCACUACCAGAUGGACCUGCGUUGUAUUAGCUAGUUGGUGGGGUAACGGCUCACCAAGGCGACGAUACAUAGCCGACCUGAGAGGGUGAUCGGCCACACUGGGACUGAGACGCGGCCCAGACUCCUACGGGAGGCAGCAGUAGGGAAUCUUCGGCAAUGGACGGAAGUCUGACCGAGCAACGCCGCGUGAGUGAAGAAGGUUUUCGGAUCGUAAAGCUCUGUUGUAAGAGAAGAACGAGUGUGAGAGUGGAAAGCUCACACUGUGACGGUAUCUUACCAGAAAGGGACGGCUAACUACGUG